Long non-coding RNA from Myzus persicae (green peach aphid), 609 nucleotides. RefSeq lists it as uncharacterized. The transcript is spliced from 2 exons. The record is from RefSeq and is a predicted model, not a curated record. NCBI's taxonomy places the organism in Eukaryota, Metazoa, Arthropoda, Insecta, Hemiptera, Aphididae.
AAUAAAGUAAUUUAUAAGAACGAAAAAAAACACGAAAUGUGCACACUACUAAAGCUGUUUUGACGGCGAUAACCGAAAACUUUUUAUUUUUAAUAGCGCUGAUAACGAAUGCAUAAUAUGCGCCAUAACGACUUGGAGAGGAUUUCAGGCAACAAUAUCGGCGAACGCACUUAAGCCUACUGCAAACAAUAUAAUCGUCGAGCCGUCAGCUGUAACAGCAGUGUAUAUAAUAAUAUACAACGCAUAAGUCCCGAACAAAUAAUAAUUGCGACCGCCGGAUAGGUUACCAAUACUUGACGACGACAAAACGAAGAGGACUUCUAGAGUUUAUUGCUCACCAGCAGUUUCGAAUCGAAUCAACUGAAUUCAAAAUAUCGCCAACACGAAAAUCCGUUUGAGUUUUUCAAGACAAAAUGUAUAAUAUUUCAACACAUUAUACCAGCGGUACGCACACUGUUGUAUGCGUACCACUGGAGGCACGCACGAGGCUACACGGAGGUAGUACGGAUAAAUUAAUAUUUUUAAUUAUGUUUAUCACCGACUUAAUAUCGAUUUACGUUUUGUAUAGGUAGGUACUUAACAUACUGAAUAAAAUUAAUUACAUUUAAC